RNAcentral lists this ribosomal RNA (253 nucleotides) under uncultured bacterium. RNAcentral's name for it is "partial 16S ribosomal RNA". It matches the Rfam family "Bacterial small subunit ribosomal RNA", at positions 524 to 776 of the family's 1533-position model. The record is from RNAcentral.
UACGAGGGGGGCGAGCGUUGUUCGGAAUUAUUGGGCGUAAAGGGUGCGUAGGCGGUUUGGUAAGUCUGAUGUGAAAUCUAUGGGCUCAACUCAUAGUCUGCAUCGGAAACUGCCAGGCUUGAGUGUGGGAGAGGUGAGUGGAAUUCCUGGUGUAGCGGUGAAAUGCGUAGAUAUCAGGAGGAACACCUGUGGCGAAAGCGGCUCACUGGACCAUAACUGACGCUGAUGCACGAAAGCUAGGGGAGCAAACAGG